GUUAUAGGGUCAAGCGAACAAGUGCAUGUGGUGGAUGCCUUGGCGAUCACAGGCGAUGAAGGACGCGGUAGCCUGCGAAAAGCUACGGGGAGCUGGCAAACGAGCUUUGAUCCGUAGAUGUCCGAAUGGGGAAACCCACUCCUUUUGGAGUAUCCAUGGCUGAAUACAUAGGCCAUGUGAAGCGAACGCGGUGAACUGAAACAUCUAAGUAACCGCAGGAAAAGAAAUCAACCGAGAUUCCCAAAGUAGUGGCGAGCGAAAUGGGAUGAGCCUUGCACUCUUUAUUUGUAUUGUUAGCCGAACGCUCUGGAAAGUGCGGCCAUAGCAGGUGAUAGCCCUGUAGGCGAAAACAGUAUGAAAGAACUAGGUGUGCGACAAGUAGGGCGGGACACGUGAAAUCCUGUCUGAAGAUGGGGGGACCAUCCUCCAAGGCUAAAUACUCGUGAUCGACCGAUAGUGAACCAGUACCGUGAGGGAAAGGCGAAAAGAACCCCGGGAGGGGAGUGAAAUAGAUCCUGAAACCGCAUGCAUACAAACAGUCGGAGCCUCGCAAGGGGUGACGGCGUACCUUUUGUAUAAUGGGUCAGCGACUUACGUUCAGUAGCAAGCUUAACCGUAUAGGGCAGGCGUAGCGAAAGCGAGUCCGAAUAGGGCGUUCAGUUGCUGGGCGUAGACCCGAAACCAGGUGAUCUAUCCAUGGCCAGGAUGAAGGUGCGGUAACACGUACUGGAGGUCCGAACCCACUAACGUUGAAAAGUUAGGGGAUGAGCUGUGGAUAGGGGUGAAAGGCUAAACAAACCUGGAAAUAGCUGGUUCUCUCCGAAAACUAUUUAGGUAGUGCCUCGUGUCUCACCUUCGGGGGUAGAGCACUGUCAUGGUUGGGGGGUCUAUUGCAGAUUACCCCGCCAUAGCAAACUCCGAAUACCGAAGAGUGCAAUCACGGGAGACAGACAUCGGGUGCUAACGUCCGGUGUCAAGAGGGAAACAACCCAGACCGCCAGCUAAGGUCCCCAAAUAUAGCUAAGUGGGAAACGAAGUGGGAAGGCUAAAACAGUCAGGAGGUUGGCUUAGAAGCAGCCACCCUUUAAAGAAAGCGUAAUAGCUCACUGAUCGAGUCGUCCUGCGCGGAAGAUGUAACGGGGCUAAGCUAUAUACCGAAGCUGCGGAUGCGAGCUUUGCUCGCAUGGUAGGAGAGCGUUCCGUAAGCCUGCGAAGGUGCCUUGUAAAGGGUGCUGGAGGUAUCGGAAGUGCGAAUGCUGACAUGAGUAGCGAUAAAGGGGGUGAAAGGCCCCCUCGCCGUAAGCCCAAGGUUUCCUACGCAACGUUCAUCGGCGUAGGGUGAGUCGGCCCCUAAGGCGAGGCAGAAAUGCGUAGCUGAUGGGAAGCAGGUCAAUAUUCCUGCACCAUUGUUAGAUGCGAUGGGGGGACGGAUCGCGGAAGGUUGUCCGGGUGUUGGAAGUCCCGGUCGCUGCAUUGGAGAAGGCGCUUAGGCAAAUCCGGGCGCGCAAUUCAAGGGUGUGGCGCGAGCUCCCUAGGGAGCGAAGCAAUUGGAAGUGGUUCCAAGAAAAGCCUCUAAGCUUCAGUCUAACGAUGACCGUACCGCAAACCGACACAGGUGGGCGAGAUGAGUAUUCUAAGGCGCUUGAGAGAACUCGGGAGAAGGAACUCGGCAAAUUGGUACCGUAACUUCGGGAUAAGGUACGCCCUUGUAGCUUGAUGCGCCUGCGCGCAGAGGGUGAAGGGGUUGCAAUAAACUGGUGGCUGCGACUGUUUAAUAAAAACACAGCACUCUGCAAACACGAAAGUGGACGUAUAGGGUGUGACGCCUGCCCGGUGCCGGAAGAUUAAAUGAUGGGGUGCAAGCUCUUGAUUGAAGUCCCGGUAAACGGCGGCCGUAACUAUAACGGUCCUAAGGUAGCGAAAUUCCUUGUCGGGU
Molecule: ribosomal RNA, 1936 nt
Filed under: Mesorhizobium sp.
Lineage: Bacteria; Pseudomonadati; Pseudomonadota; Alphaproteobacteria; Hyphomicrobiales; Phyllobacteriaceae
Description: partial 23S ribosomal RNA
Rfam family: Bacterial large subunit ribosomal RNA
Source: RNAcentral